This 2248-nucleotide unclassified non-coding RNA is filed under the name Hevea brasiliensis (rubber tree). The record is from RNAcentral. Lineage: Eukaryota; Viridiplantae; Streptophyta; Magnoliopsida; Malpighiales; Euphorbiaceae.
CUUAUCAGAACCAAAAAUACUAUAAAUGGGUAAGAAACAUACAAGAACUUAAAUUCCAGAAUCCAAUUAAAAAUAGCAAUUGCUGAUCAUUGAAAAAGGUUUUGAAAUCACGCAUUCCUGAUUAAAUUAAAAAAAGCAUAAUCAAAAGUAUUCUAUGAUCUCUGCAAAAUCCUAAGCCAUUGUUUAAAGCUAAUGAGAGAUAUGUUAGAAUAAUAUGUAACCGCCCUAAUCCAUGUGACACCACUUUUUGCUUCUUUCUCUCAGACACAAGAUAAGAAGAAUCUCUCCAUCUCUAUCUGUGUGUUUGUCUCUCUUGCCUCCACAGCCCUCUGUGAAGAGACAUUAGAUUCGGUAAUUAAAAUCAAGAAAGAUUAAUGAAUAAUUAAAUCGAUCAGUUGAAUGAGUAAAGUUUAAAGCUUUCGACAAAGGACAUCGAAACUCUAAUGACACUUAAGUGAAAGGAAACAAAUCAUGCCAUAUAAAAAAGGCAGAAUAAAGCUGCACACAGUAAUGGAGUAACCAAAAGAACCUCAAGAACCAUUAAAACAUAUUAAAGAACUGAAAUUUAAAUUUCUUUUUCCCUUUGGAUCAAUCUCUUCUCUCCCAUGUUACCCUCAACAAAGUGAAGAUCUUCACUAAUUAAACUAAAAAAAGAAAACAAAAAUCAGAAAAUGAAAGAAAAAACUGAAGAGAAAUUAGAAGGAAGUAACAACUACUACCAUGCUUACUCUCUAUAUCUAGCUAACAUUUAUUAUCGUCAUCAAUAUCUUCCCCAUCAAAAGAUCAAGAAGAUGAAGACGACCCAUUAGUGCCGACAUGAUCAAGAUUAUCAUUCUCAAAGAGUUGGUGAUGAUUCACGUUCUCACUGCUGUUAUUGUUGUUGGUGGUGGCGGUGGUCGGGGUGGUGGUGGUGGUAUGGUGGGCGUUUUCAAGAUCAUUGCUUCUAAUACCAUUCCCAUUAGCAUCCCUCUUGCCCAAAGUAUUCUUGUUAUUGUGCAUCCACACUUUCAAGACGCCUUUGUCAACCCCAACUUCAUUGCAGAAUUCUUGAAUCAAUUCUUCAUCCCUUUUCUGUAUCUUCCAUCCUAUACUCUCUGAGAACUGGUACAUUCUCUCUUUCUGGCUCUGGCUAAACUUGGUCCUGAAACGUUUUCUCGCCGAAGAACCACCUGGAACGUUUAUAGUUGAAUUGCCAUUUAAACCUGCAGAUACACCACCUGAGAGCGCCAACAGCAUGUGUGGCGCUGAGGGGUACGAUGAGGAGAUCGGCGGAGGAGAGGCAGAAUUGGGGCUUCGAUAAGGUUGUGGUACUGCUUGUGGAGGUGGGGGCGGAGGAUGGUGACGGUGGUGGGGCUGGUACUCAAUGGUGGUGGUGGUAUUGGCAGGGGGAGGGGAAUCUUCUGGUUCACGGCGGUGGAAGUUGCGGUGGCAACCGCAGGCAGCGCAUUUUAUGGAAGUGGGGUCGUUGUGGUUAGCAAUGGGGGAAGGCAUGAACUCUCCACAGCCAUCUAGAGCAUGACCGCCCAAGGAAGCAGCGUGGUUCUUGAGGCAUUCUUUGUAAGUUACGACUACCGGAGGAGCAGAAAGAUGGUGGUGGUGGUGGUGGUGGGGAUUGUGGCGUUUGAGCACACCGUUGGUGAAAGAUACAGGCUUAGCUGAUUGGAUCCGGGUAGGCGUUUCCGUUUCCUGGUCAGGAGAUUUUGCAGUUGGGGUAUUUGUGUUGGUGAUGGAGGUUGUUGUUGGGGCUAUGUCCAUGGCUCAAACAUUUAAUUGAAGUUUUAAGGAAAAAAAAAUAAAGGAAGUAAAAUAAAGAAUAAAAAAGCAGAAAAGCAAGAAUUUAAGAUUUAUGAAGGUGGAGGGUGGCUUAUGCAAUUAGGGUUUUGUAGAGGUUGGUAGUGAUGUAGGCAGCCAUGGAAGUGAUGGUGGUGGGGUUUGUAAAGGGAAAACGGAUGAUGGGUUUGUAUUUUUGAGGUGGGGUGAGAGAUAGAGACGGAGGAGGGAUAGAAGGUGGUGGAGGAGGAAGAGAAGGUGGUAGAAGAGAAGAAGAAGAGAAUGAUGAUGAUGAUGAUGAUGAGCAGUGAUGACUGUUGAUAAUAAAAAUCUGGGUUUUUGUGGUUGUCCUUCUUAACCUUAACCAAAAUGUGGAUUUUAACCCUAGUUUCAAUAUCCAUGGUUAAGUCACUUGACCCAGCUUUGGGUUUAGAUAUUGUAUAUGUAAUAAAUACGCCAGUAUAGCCAUUGACCCUAU